AUGGAUGGAUGGACGGAGGGAUGGAUGGAAAGCCGGCAGGCGGACGGCGCCCCGCUCCCGCAGCCGGGGCGGGGGGCGACGGCAAAGCUCCGCGGCAGCGAAGGGGGGCGCCCCCUUUGUCUCAGCCACCCACCUCCCCCCCCCCCGCCCCCUCACCGGGAGCGCCCCGGGGGCGGGCCCCCGCCCGCCGGCAGCUGCGGGCAGAGCCGCCGGGCAGGCGGCGCCGCCGGCCGCCCCCGGAGCAUGUGCUCUCUCUCUCCCCCCCCCCCGCCUUCCCCGGAGCGCUGCCUUACCUGGCAACCAGGGCGGGCGCUGCCGGCUCGUCCUUCAGCCUCUCCCCGCGGCAGCGGCACCACGCGCGCCCGGGCCCCUCCCGGGGCGAGGCUGCGGUGGGUGCGCGGCGGACCGCCCCCGCGCACGGCGGGCAGGCUGCCCCAGCCCCCGGCGCUCGGCGGGCCGGGCGUUAAGUUUGAGCGGCGGCGGCCGCCGGCGGCGGGCAGGGCAGGGCGAGGCAGGGCAGGGCGGGGAGGCGGAGGCGGCACCGGGGGCUGCGCGGCGCCGGGAGCGCCGCCACACUGCAGCGCCUCUAGGAAUCCCUCCCGCGAGAGGCAGCCCAUCACCCCCGGCCCGCCGCCCUCAUUGGCCGGGGGGCGGGGAGACGGAACGCGCCAGCCAAUCGCCCGGCGCCCAGCAUGGGUGGAGCCGCCGCGCCGGCCUCGCCCAUCCCGCCGCCGCGCGGUCCCUGUCCGCCCCGUCGGGCGGGGCCGGCAGCGGCAGGCGGGGGAGGAGGGGGAUGAGGAGGAGGAGGAGGAUGAUGAUGAUGAUGAUGAGGAGGAGGAUGAUAAUGAGGAUGAGGAGGGUAUCCCCGCGCAUGGCGGCCAGGGCUGGCACCGCGGCCCCCCCGCGUUGUGCCACAGCCGCGGCGACCGUCGGGUGACCUGGAUGCCCCGGGCCGGGCGCAGCGCUGGCCCCGGGCGUGAGGGCAGCGGGCGGCGGCGGCCGCCUCCCCGGCAGGGGCUGCCGCUGCCCCCCGGUCCUCGAUACUUUUCGCGGGGCUGCGGUGCGCGGCCCUGGCGCAGGGCGGGCCCGUGGGCAGCCCGCCCCGGGCAGUCGCGACUGAGGGGUGAGUCGCGAUUGGCGUCCGUGGCUUAG
This 1152-nucleotide long non-coding RNA is filed under the name Calidris pygmaea (Spoon-billed sandpiper). RNAcentral's name for it is "lncRNA (ENSCPGG00000009740.1)". Lineage: Eukaryota; Metazoa; Chordata; Aves; Charadriiformes; Scolopacidae. The record is from RNAcentral.